This 77-nucleotide small RNA is filed under the name Xanthomonas arboricola. RNAcentral's name for it is "sX9 sRNA". It matches the Rfam family "Xanthomonas sRNA sX9". The record is from RNAcentral. Lineage: Bacteria; Pseudomonadati; Pseudomonadota; Gammaproteobacteria; Lysobacterales; Lysobacteraceae.
AGGUAUCAGCCGCACAGUCCGAUUCCGGGCGCGCCGUCCGCAUCCAUCCAUCGGCCGAUCGCGACGCCUUGUUGGCC